Molecule: long non-coding RNA, 3524 nt
Organism: Mytilus californianus (California mussel)
Lineage: Eukaryota; Metazoa; Mollusca; Bivalvia; Mytilida; Mytilidae
Exons: 7
Source: RefSeq, a predicted model, not a curated record
ACUGAAAAUUACUGAAGUGCAUUGAUGUUUGUCAAAUCAGGCUAAUAACUGGUUCACUUUAAAAAUCCAGGGCAAUAGUAAUUAUAUAGAUUUGAAACUUAUGUAUCGUGUGGAAAUUAUAACUAAAGAACGUUGACAAAGAGAUUUGUAUUUCAGGGUACCUUCCUUUUAUGAAAAAUUAUGUUUAGUACUGAAUAAUCCAGUUUUUAUUUACGCAGUUUACAACAAUAUGAAAUGUUAUGUGAUGGUAUUGUCUGAAAUGUUCCUUUUUGUCAGCUUUAUUAAUCAAGGUCUUCAAAACAAGAUCAUAUUUUCAAUUUAUGGUAAAAUUAAAGAAUUCAACAUGAACACUGGAAACGUAUCAGAAAUCUUAAUCGACCAACAGAGUUACAUACAUAGUUUUGAUUAUGACUCUAACAACGAAUACAUAUAUUUUCCAAGAGCUGACAAAAACGAUAUAUUGAGAUUUCGUUAUCCAUCAGAACAAGUUUACAUGACAGAAACAGUGACCCAGGCAAGAAGGCCAAUAGGUGUCGCUAUUGAUCCGGUAGGCAAUCAUGUAUAUUGGACAGAACGAAUGGCACCAGAAGAGCUUAAGCGAUGUAAUUUCGAUGGGUCAAAUAAUAUAUCAAUACUUCAAAAUGGUCAACUAUAUGCUCUUACGUUAGAUUAUCGGAACAGAUGGUUGUAUUACAGUAUAUAUCCUACAAAUAGUGCAAUAAGACGAUCAAGAUUAAAUGGAACAGAAACUCAGACAGUAGUAAAUGUUUCUACAGAACAAGUCACUGGUUUGAGUAUAGAUUAUAAUGGUGAUAGACUGUUUUGGCUUGAAAGAAAGAGUGGUAAUGUGAAUUCUUCCAAUCUUAAUGGAACUGACGUUGUCAAAAUUGUCAGCACAAACGCAAACGAAAACUUGGGAAUACACGUACAUAAUAGCGACAUAUACUGUGCAAAUGGCAAACGAAUUCUACUGGUCACAUUAUCACCCAGAACUAAAACAAAUGUCAUGUAUUCUGAUAUAGAGAUGAUUUACGGUGUACUUUUUUACAAGGAAAAGGGUAAGUGUAUACCUGAUACAAAAAGCAUAUAAAUAUUCGUAGUAAGUCAAGCGCACGUCCCACGAGCAUAACAGUUAUUACGACCAAAGUCAAAUUAAUAGGAAGUUUAACCGCAUAAACAACCAAGAGAUUCGUAAAUGUAGUGCAAAAUCUUGCUUCUACGAGUAAAAGGAGAAAUUGGAUAUACGUCAAUGAGGCAACAACCAAACGGCAACUUUAAUCGGGAUUAUAAAGGUCUCCAUGUUGCAAACGUGUCUGUAUAAAAUACCAGGCUCUGAAUUGUUUUGAUUCUAUAACAUUUUUGAAUGAAUUAAACAGAAACAGAAUCAGUCAAAGAUCCGCUCGGAACACCACGUUAUAUGCGCUUUUUAUAUUUUGAUUACAUUCCAAAAUUAUCGCAAUUUCUGUUUUUGGAUAACAUAUUUACGGUAAGUAUUUCUAACUCAAUUAAUGUAAUAGAUGGAUUGCACCGUGCAUUUAAGUAACUUACAGGUAUUAAAUGACAAACAUUAUAUUAACUUAUCAUGUUCUUUUUCAUUAUCAUUUUGUUACGGAAGAGCAACUUGUAAAAGACCGUUUUAUUUUUGUUUGUACAUGUAGUUUUGUAUUAAUCAUGAUUAUUAUGAUACAUUUCAAUGUUUAUUUGCAUCUUUUUCUUUUAUUUAUAUAUCAGUGUUAUACUAUGUUAUGUAAUUGCUAGUUGCUUGCGCUUCUUUGCACAUGUUUAUUUAUUUAUUAACACUAACCACUUGAUAACUACAAACAUUUACAAUCAAAAUAUACACUAAACUCUUUAUUCAAUAUCUAUCAGGGUCCUUACUACGAGGUCUUUUCCUGGCAUUGUUAUUUUGUGAUGGUUAAUCUGUAGAGAUCACAUAAUUGUCACAUGAUAUUUAACAGCUUAAUAAUGUUGCAUAAUUUUAUAUACUGUCGUGUACAUGGUGUAGUUCGUAGAUUUAUAACAUGCAUUACUAUAUCGUUCUAUUUUAUCAUUUCUUUUACUGUUUUAUAGUUGUUACGAAAAUAUGUUACAUAUGUCUAACAAGAUAUUAAUUUUAAUCUUAAGCGUUACUUAUAUUAAAAAUUUGAUAUACUCAAGCUUGCUUGGUCUUUAAAUGUGAGUAUUUUUAAACAUGUAUAAAGUUACCAAUGACUGCAAAUAACGUUUACGUUUGUAUACUAGUAUUUGAAUUUUACAUAGAUAUAAGAUAUGCAUAUAUACUCAGAUAUUGAAUUGUUCUCAGUAUCAAAUAUAAACUAAGCUCUUAUCUUCUUUCAUACCGUGUUUGUCGGUAGUAUUACUAGCCAGCUGUUACUUUAAACGACAGUACAUAGUGGGUACGAUUUCUUUUCUAAAAUAUUCAAGAUAUAUGGGCAUGUGUUUCUUUCAAUUAUUGUUAUAUGAGAAGAUUUAUUUAUAGCAUCACUUUCCGAUAUCACUCAAUGAGCACAUGCACAACUGUAGGCAAGUUCCAAAAUUGCAACUGUUCAUUAAUAAAUGUAUCUGAAAUAUUUAGAUACUGCAAAAAACAAAGUGUAUGCAUGUGAUAGUAUAUUAUAAACACAAACAGGAAAGCUCGACAUUCGUCAGUAGACUGGCAAAAUCAUAGCAAAAAAGAAAAAAAAAACCGACUGACAACACAAACCUCACAAAGUCGUCUUGUAUAUAUAAGGUGAUCCGGAAAGGUUAACAUAUCCUGCUCCACAAGCUGCCCCCGUAGCUUCAACGCAUUUAAUAGAACAGUCCGCUAAUAAACGAGAAACAAAACCAAGGAUAAAACCCUGAUAUCAAUAACAUGAUGCGUGUUAUAACAAUUUAUUUUGCUAAGUUUUCGUUUAGAAUUUGUAAAAGUAUGAUAAAGUACUUCUGCCAUAAUUGUGUGGCCGUAGCUGAGUGGUAUCGGAAAUGAACUGCAGAAUUGGAUAGUUAUUGGGGAGACAUUAUGCGUGUGUUAGCGAUUAAUAGUUAACAAGAUCAGGACGGAUGUCUAUUAAAAUUUUUAUAACACAACCUGAAGAAUAAUUUUUUAUCAGCCACCAUUUACUUUGACUUUAUGAUAUGUCAUCUUUGAAGCAGAACUUUUAUAAUACUAACGUAUAUUGCAUUUGCGUAUGUAGUGUGAUUGCAUGUCAAAUUUAUUUUUUUUGUUUAAAUAAACAGUAGUAAUUAUAUUUUAUUUUGUUAAUAAUAACAGAUAAAGUUCACACUUGUUAAAUUCUUCACCAAAACGUACUGCAAAAUUGCAUGCACAUUUUUGUUUCUAGUUGUUCUUAUUUGAAGACAAAAUAGUCAUUUUAAUCAAACAGUAGGUGUGAUCAUACUAUUUUGCUCAUCUUCUGUUUUAGAUUUGUUAAAGGUACACAUGGCAAAUAUGUCUACUAUGUUUCAUGUAGUUGCACAGAUGCGCCGGUAUUUUUAACCCAUAACUGAUCGAUUAUGUGUUUAGUAAAGAUUGAUUCAACCAA